This 468-nucleotide ribosomal RNA is filed under the name uncultured bacterium. RNAcentral's name for it is "partial 16S ribosomal RNA". It matches the Rfam family "Bacterial small subunit ribosomal RNA", at positions 28 to 507 of the family's 1533-position model. The record is from RNAcentral.
GACGAACGCUGGCGGCGUGCUUAACACAUGCAAGUCGAACGGAAAGGCCCUGCUUUUGUGGGGCGCUCGAUUGGCGAACGGGUGAGUAACACGUGAGUAACCUGCCCUUGUCUUUGGGAUAACUUCAGGAAACUGGGGCUCAUACCGGAUAGGAUCUCUUGCUGCAUGGUGGGGGUUGGAAAGUUUCGGCGGUUGGGGAUGGACUCGCGGCUUAUCAGCUUGUUGGUGGGGUAGUGGCUUACCAAGGCUUUGACGGGUAGCCGGCCUGAGAGGGUGACCGGCCACAUUGGUACUGAGAUACGGCCCAGACUCCUACGGGCGGCAGCAGUGGGGAAUAUUGCAGAAUGGGCGGAAGCCUGAUGCAGCAACGCCGCGUGCGGGAUGACGGCCUUCGGGUUGUAAACCGCUUUCGCCUGUGAUGAAGCGUGAAUGACGGUAAUGGGUAAAGAAGCACCGGCUAACUACGUG